UACGUAGGGUGCAAGCGUUGUCCGGAUUUAUUGGGCGUAAAGAGCUCGUAGGCGGUCUGUCGCGUCGGAUGUGAAAACCCAGGGCUCAACCCUGGGCCUGCAUUCGAUACGGGCAGACUAGAGUGUGGCAGGGGAGACUGGAAUUCCUGGUGUAGCGGUGAAAUGCGCAGAUAUCAGGAGGAACACCAGCGGCGAAGGCGGCAUCCUGGACUGGUCCUGACGCUCAGGAGCGAAAGCGUGGGGGAGCGAACAGG
RNAcentral lists this ribosomal RNA (254 nucleotides) under uncultured bacterium. RNAcentral's name for it is "partial 16S ribosomal RNA". It matches the Rfam family "Bacterial small subunit ribosomal RNA", at positions 524 to 776 of the family's 1533-position model. The record is from RNAcentral.